GUCCAUGCCGUAAACGAUGAUUACUAGGUGUGGGUGGUCUGACCCCAUCCGUGCCGGAGUUAACACAAUAAGUAAUCCACCUGGGGAGUACGGCCGCAAGGUUGAAACUCAAAGGAAUUGACGGGGGCCCGCACAAGCAGUGGAGUAUGUGGUUUAAUUCGAAGCAACGCGAAGAACCUUACCAGGUCUUGACAUCCUGCUAACGAGGUAGAGAUACGUUAGGUGCCCUUCGGGGAAAGCAGAGACAGGUGGUGCAUGGUUGUCGU
Molecule: ribosomal RNA, 266 nt
Filed under: uncultured bacterium
Lineage: Bacteria
Description: partial 16S ribosomal RNA
Rfam family: Bacterial small subunit ribosomal RNA
Source: RNAcentral